This is a non-coding RNA of Pelobates cultripes (western spadefoot toad), 207 nucleotides long. The record is from the annotation of a GenBank genome assembly. NCBI's taxonomy places the organism in Eukaryota, Metazoa, Chordata, Amphibia, Anura, Pelobatidae.
CUCAAAGUGAAGUGUCGUCUCAUUAUUGGGGGAAGGAUUUAUUGUAUGCUGUUCCAGUUUGACUGCUAGGAGAGUAAACCUAUUCGUAUGGUUCCUAUUCAACUGUCUACAGCAUUCAUAUGCUUGAGAGCAUUCAUAUGCUCCUACGGUUCGGUGGUUGUGGUGUCUGCUGCAGUGCUUGGAGUCCUCAGGAAGCGCUAGGAGCAU